UACAGAGGGGGCAAGCGUUAUUCGGAAUUACUGGGCGUAAAGCGCACGUAGGCGGCUUGUUAAGUCAGGGGUGAAAUCCUGGAGCUCAACUCCAGAACUGCCUUUGAUACUGGCGAGCUUGAGUUCGGGAGAGGUGAGUGGAACUGCGAGUGUAGAGGUGAAAUUCGUAGAUAUUCGCAAGAACACCAGUGGCGAAGGCGGCUCACUGGCCCGAUACUGACGCUGAGGUGCGAAAGCGUGGGGAGCAAACAGG
This 253-nucleotide ribosomal RNA is filed under the name uncultured bacterium. RNAcentral's name for it is "partial 16S ribosomal RNA". It matches the Rfam family "Bacterial small subunit ribosomal RNA", at positions 524 to 776 of the family's 1533-position model. The record is from RNAcentral.